Molecule: transfer RNA, 112 nt
Filed under: Candidatus Bathyarchaeota archaeon
Lineage: Archaea; Thermoproteati; Candidatus Bathyarchaeota
Also listed under: 1 other name
Description: tRNA-OTHER
Rfam family: tRNA
About the family: Transfer RNA (tRNA) molecules are approximately 80 nucleotides in length.
Source: RNAcentral
GGGCCCGUAGCUCAGCCUGGAUAGAGCGGCAGUCUAUUCAUGGGCCGAUCCCCCUAUGCCCUGGAGCGGGUUGAGCUGUAGGUCCGGGGUUCGAAUCCCCGCGGGCCCGCCA